Molecule: ribosomal RNA, 192 nt
Filed under: uncultured bacterium
Lineage: Bacteria
Description: partial 16S ribosomal RNA
Rfam family: Bacterial small subunit ribosomal RNA
Source: RNAcentral
UCGGAUAAGAGGCUGAAACUCGCCUCUUUGAAGUCGGAAUCGCUAGUAAUCGCAGAUCAGCAUGUUGCGGUGAAUACGUUUCCUGGUCUUGUACACACCGCCCGUCAAACCAUGAGAGUCGCCAACACCCGAAGUCCGCUUUGCGGCCUAAGGGUGGGGGAGAUGAUUGGGGUUAAGUCGUAACAAGGUACC